This is a non-coding RNA of Mobula hypostoma (lesser devil ray), 296 nucleotides long. The record is from RefSeq and is a predicted model, not a curated record. Lineage: Eukaryota; Metazoa; Chordata; Chondrichthyes; Myliobatiformes; Myliobatidae.
UCCCUGCAGCAGUUUGAGGUUAAAUAGAGAAUGGGGAAAUAAAGUGAGAGCUGGUUUGAUGUUUUGAGGUUGUAUCCAGUAGCAUUUGCAGGCACAGACGUCAUCUGCCCAUUUCCCUCGCCAUCCACUUUCCUUUCCCUUUCCCUAUGCGCUUACAGAGUCCUGUUGUCACGGAGAUGCUGGCUUUUCCAAUGCCUUCAUCGAUCAUCAAACAGGAAGAGUAAAGCCUCCCAGUUCCAGAUAUUGUUGAUAAGACGAGAGCACUGUUCUAUCAGACACUGACGGCUGGUACAAGU